GUAAAAAUGUGCAGAAAUAGAAAGAACACUUCACAAUAUGAUUAUAGACACAAAAUGCUGGAGCAAAGGGCCUGAACCACUUUCCCGACCUCUGCCGAGUUUGCCCUUGACUCAUACUCGCAGCAUGGUCGUCACAAGGUCGUAGGUAGGUCGUAGGCGGUCGU
Long non-coding RNA from Amblyraja radiata (thorny skate), 164 nucleotides. RefSeq lists it as uncharacterized. The record is from RefSeq and is a predicted model, not a curated record. The transcript is spliced from 3 exons. Lineage: Eukaryota; Metazoa; Chordata; Chondrichthyes; Rajiformes; Rajidae.